This is a long non-coding RNA of Oncorhynchus tshawytscha (Chinook salmon), 3668 nucleotides long. The record is from Ensembl. Lineage: Eukaryota; Metazoa; Chordata; Actinopteri; Salmoniformes; Salmonidae.
ACCCAAUCCAAGUCCACCCUAGCCAAUCAUCAUUAGCAUUACAAAGCACACAAUGCAGACAAUGUAUUCUCAACCAAUAACUGUAAAUGUGGCAUUUUAGCAUCAUCAUUGUCUGCUUUAAAUUAGCACUGAGAACCAUCGCCCAGAUUGAAUACAUUCGAAUGCAUACUCGUUAUUGGACUGCAAAAUAGCCAAUUAAAUUCCUCCGUUGUGUGGGGUAAGUAAGCACAGACACACACUUAUGCAAACACAUGCACACACGCAAGCACACACACACACCCAUAACCCUGCUAGGAGUGAUUGUAACUUUGAAAACCUGGAUAACUGUCGCACAAUACUGUCAAAAGUCAUAAGUCAAAAUACUCUACAAAGAUGAAGCGUAAGCACAUGGCAUAUACGCUUGGGCUUCUCCUAUCUUUAAAUCUAUGAAUGUUAAUUUCAUUAUUCAUCAGCAUUCCUCUUUUCUACUUCCAUACGUUUGCUGUUCUAUUACUAUAGAUUCAGGCAUAACACAGAGGUCAAGGUGUAAUAACACAGAGGUAAAGCUGUUAUAACACAGAGGAAAAUGUGUUACAAUAAAUUAUACAUGUAAGAUAAAUGUGUUAUAACACAAAGGUAAAAGUGUUAUAACAUGGAGGUAAAGGUGAUAUAACAGAGAGAUAAAUGUGUUAUAACGCAUAGGAAAAUGUGUUAUAACACAUUGGUAAAGGUGUUAUAACAAAGAGGUAAAUGUGUUAUAACAUAGAGGUACAUGUGUUAUAACGUAGAGGUAAAGGUGUUAUAACACAGAGCUAACUUUGUUAUGACACAGAGUUAAAGGUGUUAUAACACAGAGAUACAUGUGUUAUAACACAAAUGAAAAUAUUUUAUAACAGAGGUAAAGGUGUUAUAACACAGAGAUACAUGUGUUAUAACACAGAGGUUAAUGUUUUAUGACACAGAGGUAAAGGUGUUAUAACACAGAGGUAAAGGUGUUAUAACACAGAGGUAAAGGUGUUAUAACACAGAGGUAAAGGUGUUAUAACACAGAGGUUAAUGUUUUAUGACGCAGAGAUAAAUGUGUUAUAAGACAGAGUAAAAGGUUUUAGACGACAGAGAUAAAUGUGUUAUAACAUAGAGGAAAAUGUGAUAUAACACAGAGGGAAAGGUGUUAUAACAGUGAUAAAGGUGUUACAACACAGAGGUACAUUUGUUAUAAUACAGAGAUAAAUGUGUUAUAACACAUAGGUAAAAGUGCUAUAACUCCUAAAUAAAGGUUCUUUAACUCAGAGAUAAAGGUUCUAUAACUCAGAUGUAAAGGUGUUAUGACACAGAGGUAAAGGUGUUAUAACACAGAGGUAAAGGUGUUAUAACACAGAGGUAUAGAACAACAGUAAUGGUGGAACAUGAACCGAUAAACAAAGCCAGUGAUUUAUAUGCUCUUUGAGUUUAGUCCCCCUCAACUUCUCUGUUCUCUCCUCAGGAUGAAGAAGAAUAAAGCCUGUUUUGCAGCUUUACCGCCACGUUAAUCAUCUCUUGUUGAAACAUUUAAAUACACCCACAUUACAGUUGAAACACAACACCAGUCGAAGCGAAUACCUUUGUACCAGUAUACCACAGAAUCUGUCAUGACAGUUUCAAGCGCAAUACGUGGAAUGUAGUUUGUUAACCAAACCCACCCUUUUGGGAAUUUACAAGUCUCUUGUUUUUCAGACGAGACCACUGUCAUUGCCCUGAAUGCCACCAUAUGACAAAGUUUGGCAAGAGAGUUUGACAGUUAUGAAUAAGACAUAUAAUUGGCAGCCUUUUAGCAGCCUGAAAGCUGUGGGGUUAAGACAGUUUGUCUUUUUAACCCGAGGCUUAGCAUGGAUAAAGUGAUAACAUAAGCCUGGCUGGAGAGAUAAAGUAGAACAGUAGACCUCUUGGUUGGACACUUCCCAUUUGCUGAUGUUUUGAUCAUGGCUCCUGCACUCUGUUGAGGUAAACUAGACAUCUACUGUUGGGUCUCAGGUCAAUGACCUAUAAGCAAUGGUACUUUUCUGAUCGUCUAAUUCUAAAUGUACAGUGUAUAAAAUCUUUAGAUAUGCUGUACCUCAAAUUGGUUCAUUUCAAAAAGAGAGUAUGACGAAUUUGAGAGGAUCCGAGCAUGGCUGGGGAGAUUUGGACAGUCCAGUCUUUCUUAAUCCACAGAGAAGAUCACUGUUAUAAACCCUGCAUAAAAUCAGGAGACAAUGCUAGGUUGUUUUCUGUGUUGGCUUGAUUUUCCCUUUUUUUCAAGUCAAACUGAAGACCAGAGAGCAGCCAGCUAGUAAAGCCUCCCCUUCCCCAGCCCAGGCCCCUCAAAACAAGCCUCUUUCUGUUGGGAAUCUCCAUGGAAACCAAGCAACUAACUUGAGGAGGGAUAUAAAACCUGCUCUUUGAGGGACUGAAGGAACACCUGCCACCUCUACAGAUGGGGGUCAAAAUAGACUGACACACUGCCACCUCAUAAUGAACAGAGGGUUGUGUAACAUUUAAAUGAGUCCCCGUCCCGAACAUCUGCUCAUCGUCAAUUACUUAUUCACUGAUAACUCCUAUUUUAUCUGUUAAAACAGACCCAAUCUUUACUGGAAAUCACUUGAUGCAAUAGUGUAGUCAUUUAUGAGUAUUGGUUCAGAUUGCAGAUUGGUUAAAAUGACAGUAAUAACUGAUAUGGACUGUUCAUCAUUCUAAGAUUGAAGAUGUUAGGUGCGUAAUUGAUUUGGGAAUCUGCAUCACAUCUUGAAGUCCGAGAGCUCUGAAGGUUUUGAAAAUAAGAUAUUUGGUUGUGUGGCCGUUAGUUUGUACAUAACAUGGGUUCCAUUGAAAUCCAGCAACUGCAUGUUUAUGGAAGCGACACCACACUAUCCCCUGGCUGUUACUGUCAAAGCAAAAAGCUGCUGUUGGACAUACAUAGCCUGAACAACCUUAAUUAACACCUGCAGAAUAGCCCCGCGGUUGUUAUUUUACUGCUGCUCUUUCAUUGUUACUGUUUUUUAAUUGGUUAAGGGCUUGUCAGUAAGCAUUUCACUGUGAUGUCUACACCUGUUGUAUUCGGUGUAUGUGACAAAUAACAUCUGAUUUGAGAACCACAACAUAAAUAAAAGAAAAGUACUGUUAACCACACCAACAUUACUGGGAUUGUUAGCCACUCCGUCUUUUUGUAACCUUGCUUUUUAGGGCUAAUUGCCCUGACUUUCCAGAGUUCAGGGGUCAAACAGUUUGUCAACAAGCAUUAGGGCAGAAAUUCAAUCAACUGUUCAGCUUUUGCGAUUCAAAGGAAUCUCCUUCAAGUGUUACAAUGACUAUAAACAAAUCUUGUCCACCACCACUAUCACUAUCAAUACAGUGAGUCCCUCACAUUUCACCUAUUGUAUUUCCGCUUACCCUCACCCAUUCACACCCCAAACAUCAAAGGCCCUAUCAACAAGAACAAGUGGCAUGCAGGGGUCAUCCAUCCAGCCACCCAGCCUCAUUUUAGCCUACACUGCCGGAGGCAAUAUGCUCUGGGAUGCAUCCCAAAUGCUACCCUAUUCCCUUUAAAGUGCACUAUAUUAAUUUCACCAGGGGCCAAAGGGAUCUAUAUAGAGCAUAGGGUACCAGUCUUCCAUGUUCCUCCCCAGCCCUCCCCACUCCUCACAACUCCAUUCAUGUGUGAAAGUGACGGCUGC